CCUACGGGAGGCUGCAGUAGGGAAUCUUCCACAAUGGGCGAAAGCCUGAUGGAGCAACGCCGCGUGGGUGAAGAAGGUCUUCGGAUCGUAAAACCCUGUUGUUAGAGAAGAAAAUGCGUGAAAGUAACUGUUCACGUUUCGACGGUAUCUAACCAGAAAGCCACGGCUAACUACGUGCCAGCAGCCGCGGUAAUACGUAGGUGGCAAGCGUUAUCCGGAUUUACUGGGCGUGAAGGGAACGCAGGCGGUCUAUUAAGUCUGAUGUGAAAGCCUUCGGCUUAACCGGAGUAGUGCAUUGGAAACGGGGAGACUAGAGUGCAGAAGAGGAGAGUGGAACUCCAUGUGUAGCGGUGAAAUGCGUAGAGAUAUGGAAGAACACCAGUUGCGAAAGCGGCUCUCUGGUCUGUAACUGACGCUGAGGUUCGAAAGCGUGGGUAGCAAACAGGAUUAGAUACCCGGGUAGUC
RNAcentral lists this ribosomal RNA (465 nucleotides) under uncultured bacterium. RNAcentral's name for it is "partial 16S ribosomal RNA". It matches the Rfam family "Bacterial small subunit ribosomal RNA", at positions 338 to 795 of the family's 1533-position model. The record is from RNAcentral.